UUAAUGGUAUAAAACUAGUAAAUUGGCCGCUCUUCGCGCGGGGUGAAUUUCUUUAAUGGUAUAAAGUUACAAUGUUUCUUUGAGAUUUUCACCUACUACGUUACAUUUUGCCAUGUAUAACGAAGCUGUCUACGUUAUUUUGCUUUUUUCUUUUUUAAAAAAUGCUACUCUCCACGAGGUAAAUAUAAGAUUGGCAUAUACACCACCUUCUCCAAACCAUACAUGCGAAAUCACAAGAUUGGCAUAUACACCACCUUCUCCAAACCAUACAUGCGAAAUCAC
RNAcentral lists this unclassified non-coding RNA (282 nucleotides) under Hevea brasiliensis (rubber tree). The record is from RNAcentral. Lineage: Eukaryota; Viridiplantae; Streptophyta; Magnoliopsida; Malpighiales; Euphorbiaceae.